Molecule: ribosomal RNA, 290 nt
Filed under: uncultured bacterium
Lineage: Bacteria
Description: partial 16S ribosomal RNA
Rfam family: Bacterial small subunit ribosomal RNA
Source: RNAcentral
AACGAACGCUGGCGGCAUGCCUAACACAUGCAAGUCGAACGAGACCUUCGGGUCUAGUGGCGCACGGGUGCGUAACGCGUGGGAAUCUGCCCUUGGGUUCGGAAUAACAGUUAGAAAUGACUGCUAAUACCGGAUAAUGUCUUCGGACCAAAGAUUUAUCGCCCAGGGAUGAGCCCGCGUAGGAUUAGCUAGUUGGUGAGGUAAAGGCUCACCAAGGCGACGAUCCUUAGCUGGUCUGAGAGGAUGAUCAGCCACACUGGGACUGAGACACGGCCCAGACUCCUACGGGA